ACUGAACGCUGGCGGCAUGCCUUACACAUGCAAGUCGAACGGCAGCACGGGUGCUUGCACCUGGUGGCGAGUGGCGAACGGGUGAGUAAUACAUCGGAACGUACCUUAUCGUGGGGGAUAACGCAGCGAAAGUUGCGCUAAUACCGCAUACGCCCUGAGGGGGAAAGCGGGGGAUCGUAAGGCCUCGCGCGAUUAGAGCGGCCGAUGUCUGAUUAGCUUGUUGGUGAGGUAAAAGCUCACCAAGGCGAGGAUCAGUAGCUGGUCUGAGAGGACAAUCAGCCACACUGGGACUGAGACACGGCCCAGCCUCCUACGGGAGGCAGCAGUGGGGAAGUUUGGACAAGGGGGGCAACCCUGAUCCAGCAAUGCCGCGUGAGUGAAGAAGGCCUUCGGGUUGUAAAGCUCUUUUGUCAGGGAAGAAACAGCAGCUCUAACACAGUCUGCGAAUGACGGUACCUGAAGAAUAAGCACCGGCUAACUACGUGCCAGCCGCCGCCGUAA
Molecule: ribosomal RNA, 501 nt
Filed under: uncultured bacterium
Lineage: Bacteria
Description: partial 16S ribosomal RNA
Rfam family: Bacterial small subunit ribosomal RNA
Source: RNAcentral